This 434-nucleotide ribosomal RNA is filed under the name uncultured bacterium. RNAcentral describes it as "partial 16S ribosomal RNA". It matches the Rfam family "Bacterial small subunit ribosomal RNA", at positions 29 to 507 of the family's 1533-position model. The record is from RNAcentral.
AGCGAACGCUGGCGGCAGGCCUAACACAUGCAAGUCGAACGAACCUUUCGGGGUUAGUGGCGGACGGGUGAGUAACACGUGGGAACGUGCCUUUAGGUUCGGAAUAACUCAGGGAAACUUGUGCUAAUACCGAAUGUGCCCUUCGGGGGAAAGAUUAAUCGCCUUUAGAGCGGCCCGCGUCUGAUUAGCUAGUUGGUUGAGGUAAUGGCUCACCAAGGCGACGAUCAGUAGCUGGUCUGAGAGGAUGAUCAGCCACAUGGGGACUGAGACACGGCCCAAACUCCUACGGGAGGCAGCAGUGGGGAAUCUUGCGCAAUGGGCGAAAGCCUGACGCAGCCAUGCCGCGUGAAUGAUGAAGGUCUUAGGAUUGUAAAAUUCUUUCACCGGGGACGAUAAUGACGGUACCCGGAGAAGAAGCCCCGGCUAACUUCGUG